UAAACAAAAGCUUUGGUCCUAGCCUUAUUGGCAAUUUUAAUUAGACCUACACACGCAAGUUUCCGCUAUCCUGUGCGAAUGCCCUCAAAACUAUUUAAUCAAAAGAUAAGAGGAGCUGGUAUCAGGCACACUAAUAGUAGUCAAUUACACCUUGCUUAACCACACCCCCACAGGAAACAGCAGUGAUUAAAAUUAAGCUUUAAAGGAAAGUUUGACCAAAUCAUAAUAAUUUUCAAGGAAGGGUUGGUAAAUUUCGUGCCAGCCACCGCGGUCAUACGAUUAACCCAAAUUAACAAAUUUUCGGCGUAAAGCGUGUUUAAGCAGAAAUAUUAAAAUAAAGUUAAUACUUAACUAAACUGUAAUACGCUCUAGUUAAUACUAAAAUAAAUUAUUAAAAUAACUUUAACAAAGCUGACACAUGACAACUAAGAUACAAACUGGGAUUCGAUACCCCACUAUGCUUAGUCGUAAACUAAAAUAGUUCAAUAACAAAACUAUUCGCCAGAGAACUACUAGCUAUUGCUUAAAACUCAAAGGACUUGGCGGUGCCCAAAACCCACCUAGAGGAGCCUGUUCUUU
This 579-nucleotide non-coding RNA is filed under the name Monodelphis domestica (gray short-tailed opossum). Its description in RNAcentral is "Bacterial small subunit ribosomal RNA". It matches the Rfam family "Bacterial small subunit ribosomal RNA", at positions 9 to 947 of the family's 1533-position model. Lineage: Eukaryota; Metazoa; Chordata; Mammalia; Didelphimorphia; Didelphidae. The record is from Rfam by way of RNAcentral.